UUUUUUCACAGUUGGGUUUUCAAAUGUAAGUGUACCUAACCCUUAACUUUAAUCUUUAUUUUGGCCACUACCCAGAUAAUCAAAAUCCAGGUAUGUUCUGCUUUUCUCACCCAUCUCCUAUUCUUAAAACAUCUGUAACUAAAUCUUCAGUCAAAGACAAAAUUUAGAUGAGACUGAGCCAAGGAUAGACUUCUAUGGAAUGAUCCUAGACAGUUCUAUUCAGAGUGAAAUAAAUAUUCUUAACCAGUGAAAUAAAUAUAAAAUUAAUGAUGAAACCUGACAAUCAUAAUGCUACCAAACCUAUAUUUUUCCACUUGUUCACAAAAGCAUCAUGGAAAACAAGACCAAAAAUUUUGCUUGCCAAAUGAAUUGUGUCUACAACAUGGCACUGAGUUAUUCUUCCACAUCUUGCGAAAGAAGGAAUUAGGGGAUAUAUGCUGGCUCUCUGUAAACACUGCAACUCUUUUCUCAGUACUUAGUUAUCCUAUCACAUGUUCUGAAAUACUGCCAGGACCCAAACUAAAGGUAACAGAAUUUACCUAUAUUGUUUUUUUAUUAAAGUCAAAACACAUUGCCUCAACGACGAUGAGUCUAUAAUCCAUUGGUAUCUGGAGCCCCGAGUGCCUUCUCUUCAGGUAAAAAGGUGCUUCCUUAACAACCUAGUCUUCCACCUUGAACUUCUAUCUUCUCUAUCAAAUCUCAUUUUUCCCCUGUUUAGUUACAAGCUCAUUUUCCUUAACAGAGAGGUCGAGUGCAAAAUUAGAACUAAUGAAUCAUGCAUUCUGUAUCAGCCAGCACUAUACCACCCACCACUGGAAGUAAUCACUAUUCCCAGAAAACAACUUAAAAGAACCUCUGACUUUUUCUUUUAAAGGUUUUUGAGAUUUCUUAGUACUAGCUUUUUUCCAGCCAGCACUAAACAAGCCUUCCAGCAUUUAAAAGCUCAAGCUCCAAUCAACCCAGCUUUCUGCUGUCAGGCAGACCAUCCUAAUGCAAUACAGAAGGCUGGGUGGAAUGCCAAGUUUCUGUCUAGUCCUCAGGAAUUGGUGCCCUGGCCAAUGGGCAUAUAGUCAGUUGCGACCAAUUUUUUUGCCGUUGUUUUAAAGGAGGCGGGCAAAAGAACAACCCCCUGUAAUCGGAUAACUAGAGAUACUGGCCAAGAACUGGUGCCAUCUGCUAAUCUGGGUAGAAAUGAGGUUGAGAAGAGAAGGGCUGGAGAUGGGGCAGAUGGGACUCUCCCGGUCAUUGGCUUUUAUUAUCUUGCUCCUGUUUGUGUUCGAUAAUUUGAGCAAAAGAUAGAAAGACAUGGCUCUCUGUUAGAAUAAAAAGAUGAAGGGAGAACACAGUGUUGAGUUAUUCUCUCUCCUGCCCCUUCAUUCCAAUCAAUUCCCAUACUAUCCUUCUGGCUGGAGAAGGCAAACAUUGCAUCUCUCAGAUAAGAGCCCACAAAGAUAUUUUCUAACAUUCACGAGGAUGAGAGGUCCCACUGCUAUUCUAUGUUUUGUGAAUAAAUUUAAUUUGCACAAAUGUACAACUGACAUUUUAUCUGUAAUGACUUGACUUAGUUCUUCAUAGAAGUAUUUACAAAUCCGAAUAGAGGACACUAUGAUUGCAGCACAAUCUGAGGGCCUAGUGAGUGACGUGGGAUAAGACACUCUUUUUGAUCCCACUGUUGUCUACCCUUCUAAUUCUUGCCAUUCCAUUCUUUGCAAAUUAAACUCCAGUCAUUCUAUUCUGUCUGUAGGUCCACGAUUAUACGAGACUGAUCAUGUUGCUAUGUAUAGAUAGUUUUGAUAUAAAGCUGAUUUUGAAAAAGUAAAUAUGUUCCAAUACAACCGAUAUAGUAGGAACAAUUUAAGCAUAACAUGAAUUUUGCAUUUGCUUGUGUACAACUUCCUGCAUAAGAAAUGUGGUACUUUUCUUUCUCUGACUUAUUUCACUCACCAUAACAUGCUCCAAGUCUAUCCAUGUUGCUGCAAAUGGUAAAAUUUCAUUCUUUUGAUGGCUGAGUUGUAUUCCAUUGCGUGUGUGUGUGUAUGUGCAUAUGUGUGUGUUUCACAUUUAUAUGUCACACACAUCACACAUCUUCUUUAUCCAGUCAUCUGGAUAAAGUUGAUGGACACUUAGGUUACUUCCAUAUCUAGGCAAUUAUAAAUAAUUGUGCCAUGAAUAUGGAGGUGCAGGUAUCUUUUCAAAUUAGGGUUUUUGUUUUUUGUAGAUGUCUACCCAGAAGUGGAAUUGCUGGAUCAUAUGGUAGUUUCAUUUUUAGCCUUCUGAGAAAUCACGAAAAAGAAGCCGACGUACAGAUAGAGAGAACAAAUUAGUGGUUACCAAUGGAGACCUGGAAGGAAGGCAGGGCAAUAUAAGAGAUAUAAGAGUAGGGGAUUAAGAGGUACAAAUGAUAAUGUAUAAAAUAAGCUACAAGGAUAUACUGAACAUCACAGGGAAAUGUAGCCAGUAUUUUAUAAAAACUAUAAAUGGAGUAUAACCUUUAAAAAUUAUGAAUAACUAUGUGAUAUACCUAUAACUUAUACUGUACCAUCAACUAUAUUUCAAUAAAGAAAAAGACUUACUAGGUAAAUCAGCCCAGCUUAACUGAGCUAUGUAGAAAUGCACAAAACACACACACUUACACACACCACAAGCACCUUGUAUAUCAUGGGCCAUUUCUGUCCACAUCUGGUGUCACAAAUACCCACCUGUUUCAGAUAACCUUUCUUCCACCACUUCACAACAAUUUAUAAGCUGCAACCUUCCCAUUGCCCAUUUAUAUAAGCAAACCUCUAGUCUCUUCCAAUACACAGCGCCAUAUUUAAUGUAGGGUUGUUGUUAUUCUUUAAAGUAAUCAUUUAAAAACCUACAUUAAAUGUGAAAACCUGCUGCCAGCCACAGCCACAGCCACAGCAACAUCAGAUCCCAGCUGCAUCUGCAACCUACACCACAGCUCAUGGCAAUGCCAGAUCCUUAACCCAUUGAGCAAGGCCAGGGAUUGAUCCUGAAACCUCAUGGUUCCUAGCAGCAUUCAUUUCCUUUGCACUAUGAUGGGAACUCUGGAAACACUGUUCCAGUCAACAUUCUGUCCUUUUUUGAGGUAAAUUUUGGGAAAAGUGAGUCAUUUUGCACACAGUCCUUCAGAAUUUAAUAUAUUACACACACACACACACACACACACACACACACACAAACAUACCCUUUUCAUCUGAUGAGUAAUUGUGAUGGAACUGGACCUAAUCCCUGUCUUCUGAUUCAGACACCAUCCAUUUCUGCAAACCUACCCACCAAGGUGGAAAACACAAGGAUGGAAAAAUCAUGGGACACUGCAAUUUUCUAGGUUUAGAGUUCACGAAUUGGUUAUUUUUAAGGAAGUUUCACACCCCCCUUCACAUUCCUUCAAGUGCUAAUGAUGAAAUGCAUGAAAGAUCAGAAUUUGGUGCAACCAUUAUCCUAAUGUUGGGGGCUGUGGAUCCGUGUUAUGGAGAAACUUCCGAUGGGGAGGCAGUACACAUGCCCUAUAUAGAGUUCAGGCCUCUGUGCUAAGUCUCAUACACUCCAGAGAUGUGCCACUUUCUGUCUGAGGAUCUCCCUUCCCUCAGGUAACAGCAUGGCUUGCUCCCUUACCUCCAGCCAAUAUCUCCUUAAAAGUCCCCUCAGUGAGGUCCACCCUGACUGCCCUAUUAAAACCCUCACUAUUCCCCAACUACGGUAGAAAGGUUUUUCCUCCUUACAUGCUUUCUACCUCUGAUUUUCAACUUCCAAAAUACUUAAAGGUUUAUGUACUGCAUUCCCUUCCUAUAUUAUUCAUUGGAAUGUAAGCUCCAUGAGAGCAGAGGUUUUUGUCUCCGUGGUUUGAGUACUGUCAUUCCAAUAUUUACAACAGUACCUGGCACAUGGUGCAACUUCAAUAAAUAUUUGCUGUUCAAAUGAAUACACACAAGGAUGAAAAAGCAUGGUUCUCUAAGCCAUUCUAAGAAUAAAAUUAAUAAUCUCAAACGCAUAGAGCCAGGCACCUUUAAGGAACUUGCUCAAAUACACAAAAACCAAGGAAAACUUCUGGGCUCAAACUAAAGGGCAACACUCCCAUGCACACGGUCCAUUUGGAAGGCGAUAUACAAGUACUCGCCCAGGGAGCUUUGAGAAUUACAGGAAGUAUUUUUUAAAAUGUGAGUAUGGUUCCUAUUUACAGUCUGAGGCAUAUGUGCUCCACAGUGGCAUCAUUUCUACAGAGAAAGAAUAACCAAAUCACUCCUCUGCAUUCAUAGCACAUGCAACAAAGGCACUUAAAAACAAGAAGUGAGAAGGAGAUAAAAUUGGGAGCAUUUAUAAAGAAUGCACAGCUGAGGAGCUCCCAUCGUGGUACAGUGGAAACAGAAUCCAACCAGGAACCAUGAGAUUGCGGGUUCGAUUCCUGGCCUUGCUCAGUGUAGAUCGAAGACACAGCUUGGAUCUAGCAUUGCUGUGGCUCUGGAGUAGGCCAACAACUACAGCUCCAAUUAGACCCCUAGCCUGGGAACCUCCAUAUGCUGCAGGUGUGGCCCUGAAAAGACCAAAUAAAUAAAUAAAUAAAUAACCUAGACGUCCACCUAAAGACGAGUGGAUAAAGAACAUGUAGCACAUAUAUUCAAUGGAAUACUACUGAGCAAAAAAAAGAAAAAAAGAAAAGAAAUAGGAAGUUCCCAUGGCAGUUCAGUGGUAAUUAGCCCAACUAGUACCCAUGAGGAUGUGGGUUCAAUCUCUGGCCUCACUCGGUGGAUUAAGGCAUUGUCCUGAGCUGUGGUGUAGGUUGAAGACACUGCUUGGAUCCUGUGUUGCAGUGGCUGUGAUAUAGGCUGGAAGCUGUAGCUCCGAUUUGACCCCUAGCCUGGGAAUUUCCAUAUGCCACAG
This 4881-nucleotide long non-coding RNA is filed under the name Sus scrofa (pig). Its description in RNAcentral is "lncRNA (ENSSSCG00005015409.1)". Lineage: Eukaryota; Metazoa; Chordata; Mammalia; Artiodactyla; Suidae. The record is from RNAcentral.